Molecule: long non-coding RNA, 214 nt
Filed under: Vitis vinifera (wine grape)
Lineage: Eukaryota; Viridiplantae; Streptophyta; Magnoliopsida; Vitales; Vitaceae
Description: long non-coding RNA (VVIN_LNC005048)
Source: RNAcentral
UUCGAUCCUGAUGCCUUGAUAAGUUUCCGAAUUAUGGUCUAUUACUAAUCACGGAAUGUUAUUAAUCCAUGGAUUCAUGUUGCAAAUGUUUUUUCCUAUUUUUUUAAUUUGUUUUUUUAAGUAAAAUAAAUUUAAAAUAAUUUUUUUUUGGACAAUCCUUGGAUUCGUGUUUAAGAAUUUUUUUUCCUAUCUCAAAUGCAAUUUUUACUUUUUU